GACGAACGCUGGCGGCGUGCUUAACACAUGCAAGUCGAACGGAAAGGCCUGCUUUCCCUUGUGGAUUGCGGGUACUCGAGUGGCGAACGGGUGAGUAACACGUGAGUGAUCUGCCCCCAACUUGGGUAUAAGCCUGGGAAACUGGGUCUAAUUCCCGAUAGGACUGCAGGGUGGUGCCUGUGGUGGAAAACGAUUUUCUAGUGGUUGGGGAUGAGCUCGCGGCCUAUCAGCUUGUUGGUGGGGUAAUGGCCUACCAAGGCGGCGACGGGUAGCCGGCCUGAGAGGGUGGACGGCCACAUUGGGACUGAGAUACGGCCCAGACUCCUACGGGAGGCAGCAGUGGGGAAUAUUGCACAAUGGGCGGAAGCCUGAUGCAGCGACGCCGCGUGGGGGAUGACGGCCUUCGGGUUGUAAACUCCUUCCGACCGCGAGGAAGCCACCUGGUUGGAAGGGUGGUGACGGUAGUGGUAGAAGAAGCACCGGCUAACUACGUG
Molecule: ribosomal RNA, 494 nt
Filed under: uncultured bacterium
Lineage: Bacteria
Description: partial 16S ribosomal RNA
Rfam family: Bacterial small subunit ribosomal RNA
Source: RNAcentral